GUCAUAUGGAAUUUGGAGUUUAUUCUGAAACCAAUAGCAUUAGACCAUGACUCUUUUCUGUAGCGUUCCCACUAUCUGCUCUUUUUUUUAAAGAGGGAUCCUAUGUACCCUUUACCAAGCUUCCCUCAAUGGUAAUUGAUGCGGGAUCGGUGAGCCGAGGAGUCGAAAGAAAGAUUUCUUAGACUCUCAAGAUCUGGCAGUAGUGCUCUUUUAUUUAGAAAAUAGUGUGGAAUAGCAUGGGGACAGGACCCAUGGGCAGUCAGAGCUUCUGCUGCUGCCGCUUCUGCUGCCCCCGCUGGCAUGGGGACAGAGCCCAUGGGCAGCAGCAGGAGCUCUGACUGCCCGUGGGUCCUGUCCCCACGCACCAGCUCUGCCUGCCCAUGGAUCCUGUCCCCAUGCCAGCGGGGGCAGCAGCAGCGGCUCUGCCUGCCCAUGGGCUCUGUCCCCAUGCCAGCGGGGGCAGCAGAAGCGGCGGCAGCAGAAACUCUGACUGCCCAUGGGUCCUGUCCCCAUGCUAUUCCACACUAUUUUCUAAAUAAAAGAGCACUACUGCCAGAUCUUGAGAGUCUAAGAAAUCUUUCUUUCGACUCCUCGGCUCACCGAUCCCGCAUCAUUACACAUCCUGGAGAAGCCGAGCCUAUGACAAUGUGAAAUAGAACGUGCUUUUGUAAGGCUGCCCCAAGCAGUCACUUUGUUUAUUACAAGAGAACUUUUGAAAUCAAAGGAAGAAAUGUACUGAAAGCCAGCUGUCUACACCCUGCACAGCAUUCUUAACAACUGAUGGGAACUAGCAUUUGAUUUUAUUUGAGAUCAUUUUAGAAAAAUUGCCUAAUCUCUCCUCUCUUCAGUUUGUCCCUCUGUAAAGCAGGGAUGGUAACACCAGCAGGGAUGUUGUGAGAAUUAAAUGAGAUGUUCAGCCAUUUUCUCGGUUAGUGAUAUUUUCAUUUCGAUGUGACUAGUUGAGAAGCUGAUUAAAUGGUUUAAAUAUUUCCCCACCCUUUGCUUCUCAUUUUUUCCUCCUACUGUCUAACUUUUGAUAACUGCGAUCUCUUUAGUUCCUCCGUCUAUGCGUGCAGAUAGGGUAUCAUAGGAAAAAAUCAGUCAGUUUUGCUUCUGCUUUG
Molecule: long non-coding RNA, 1121 nt
Filed under: Equus caballus (horse)
Lineage: Eukaryota; Metazoa; Chordata; Mammalia; Perissodactyla; Equidae
Description: lncRNA (ENSECAG00000046544.1)
Source: RNAcentral